This 293-nucleotide long non-coding RNA is filed under the name Solanum tuberosum (potato). Its description in RNAcentral is "long non-coding RNA (STUB_LNC006464)". Lineage: Eukaryota; Viridiplantae; Streptophyta; Magnoliopsida; Solanales; Solanaceae. The record is from RNAcentral.
GUAGGUGCAAUGAUAAUUAAUAUAUGUUGAUUCAAUUUUUUGAUGUCAGUAAUAAUUAAUUAUCUUCGUCAUAAUAUAAUUACUACUUUUUUACUAGGUGUAUACUAUAAAAUUGACAAUGAUAUUCUAGCCAUAUUAAAGAAGACAUAUGUUGAUCAACUUUUUGUUCAACAUUUACAAAAUACUACUUUCAUUCGACAACAACUUCUUGUUAUGCAUACGACUAUAAGAGGAGGAAUUCCCAAUUUCUGAAAGUCAUGACAUAAGUUUUAAUAAGCGAAGCAUUUGAAAAC